CCUAUGCACAAUGCAUUCUACACAAGUCCCCAGUGCACCAACAGCCCAAUUUUGGCUAUAUUCUCUGAGAGAUUUAAGGAAGUCAGCAACCACUCAUCUCACGUGAUCUUAAAAAGGGGCGCAGCUGAGCCCGGAAUAAACCACACUUUUUUUUCUGCAUCAACUUCACUGCCCAGUAUGAAGGAAGUGGGCAGGGAGGUGGCGCAGGUCCAGUGUGCAGAGGAGGCUAGCAAACAAGCGUGGGUUGCUGUGCCUUCUACUUCGGGGGAGCUAGGUGAGAAGGCACACUCGCUCAAGCGCACUGCAGGGGCUGAAAAAUCGAAGACUGCCACACCCCCCAGGAGCCAGGGGCAUAGCUUCAUCUCCUCUUGCUCCACCAAAAAGGGGGCCCUUUCUACGGAAUGCCUCACCCGCCGGGCACUGCCCGGAUCCCCCGCACCCCGACGUGCAACGCCCUUGAGUCCGGCGCGGGUGGGACACGGCGCUGGGGGGCGGCAGAGGGGGGACGGCCGCGGCGACAGGGGACACGCGCAUGCGCAGAUAUGGGUACCCGCCCGUUCACCUACCGUUGGAACCGCGACGCCCCGUUCCCUGGCCGCGGCCGCUUCUCCAGGACCCGCGGCGGCGGCAAGAGGGCGAGAACUGAGGCCCCGAGAGGCUCCGCGGCCGGCGAGCUUCUUCCUGCGGCGGCCGCUGGAGGGAGGCUGAAGCGACGGCUGUAGCGCGGGGCCAGCCCGCCACCAAUGCUUCCCUAAGACUCCUGGAAUCUCAACAUACUGGAACAUCAGAGGUGGAAGGAGCCUUCAGGAUUAUCUGGUCCUAGCUCCUUCCUAGCUUGAUGAACCCCUUUCCAGAGGUACGUGCAUUUAUUCAUUGUAUUCCACUUACCACUUUCUGCCUAUAUAGCUAGAUAUACACUUUGUCUCCUGUUUACCAGAUGAUAAGCUCCUUGAGGGCAGGUAGCAAGAACUAUGGCUUAGCAAGGGUUAAAGCCUUGCACAGGGCCAGCCCGUGGCUGAGUGGUUAAGUUCGUGCACUCUGCUUCCACGGCCCAGGGUUUUGCCGGUUGGGAUCCUGAGUGUGCACAUGGCACUGCUCAUCAGGCCAUGCUGAGGCGGCAUCCCACAUAGCACAACCAGAGGGACCUACAACUAGAAUACACAACUAUGCACUGGGGGGCUUUGGGGAGAAGAAGAAGGAGAAGAAGACAAAAAAAAAAAAGUUUUGCACAUAACCAGAACAAACAAAUAUUUGGUGUUAAACUCCACAGAGA
This 1273-nucleotide long non-coding RNA is filed under the name Equus asinus (donkey). RNAcentral describes it as "lncRNA (ENSEASG00005035269.1)". Lineage: Eukaryota; Metazoa; Chordata; Mammalia; Perissodactyla; Equidae. The record is from RNAcentral.